GAUGAAGAACGUAGCGAAAUGCGAUACGUAAUGUGAAUUGCAGAAUUCAGUGAAUCAUCGAAUCUUUGAACGCACAUUGCGCCUGCCAGCACUCUGGCAGGCAUGCCUGUUCGAGCGUCAUUUCAACCAUCAAGCCCUAGGCUUGCGUUGGAGCCCUGCGGCUGCCGCAGGCCCCUAAAAGCAGUGGCGGGCUCGCUAUCACACCGAGUGCAGUAGAUUACUCUUCGCUCAGGGCGUGUGGCGGGUUCCAGCCGUGAAACCCCCUACUUCUCAAGGUUGACCUCGGAUCAGGUAGGAAUACCCGCUGAACUUAAGCAUAUCAAUGCGGAGGA
Molecule: unclassified non-coding RNA, 332 nt
Filed under: soil metagenome
Description: partial contains 5.8S ribosomal RNA, internal transcribed spacer 2, and large subunit ribosomal RNA
Rfam family: 5.8S ribosomal RNA (bases 1-120)
Source: RNAcentral